CCUUCGGUAGCUCAGCCGGUAGAGCGGAGGACUGUAGAUUGUCGUCCAAGCCAUCCUUAGGUCGCUGGUUCGAUUCCGGCUCGAAGGA
Molecule: non-coding RNA, 88 nt
Organism: Podarcis lilfordi (Lilford's wall lizard)
Lineage: Eukaryota; Metazoa; Chordata; Lepidosauria; Squamata; Lacertidae
Source: the annotation of a GenBank genome assembly